UACGUAGGGGGCAAGCGUUGUCCGGAAUUAUUGGGCGUAAAGAGCUCGUAGGCGGCUUGUUGCGUCGGCUGUGAAAACCCGUGGCUUAACUGCGGGCUUGCAGCUGAUACGGGCGGGCUAGAGUUCGGUAGGGGAGACUGGAAUUCCUGGUGUAGCGGUGAAAUGCGCAGAUAUCAGGAGGAACACCGGUGGCGAAGGCGGGUCUCUGGGCCGAUACUGACGCUGAGGAGCGAAAGCGUGGGGAGCGAACAGG
Molecule: ribosomal RNA, 253 nt
Filed under: uncultured bacterium
Lineage: Bacteria
Description: partial 16S ribosomal RNA
Rfam family: Bacterial small subunit ribosomal RNA
Source: RNAcentral